RNAcentral lists this ribosomal RNA (356 nucleotides) under uncultured bacterium. RNAcentral describes it as "bacterial SSU rRNA". It matches the Rfam family "Bacterial small subunit ribosomal RNA", at positions 1 to 334 of the family's 1533-position model. The record is from RNAcentral.
CUGUACAGUUCAGAGUUGAUCCUGGCUCAGGAUGAACGCUGGCGGCGUGCUUAACACAUGCAAGUCGAACGAAGCAUUAAGAUGAAUUUUCUUCGGAAAUGAAGUUUUGAUGACUUAGUGGCGGACGGGUGAGUAACGCGUGGGUAACCUACCUUAUACAGGGGGAUAACAGUUGGAAACGACCGCUAAUACCGCAUAAGCCUCCAGUAUCGCAUGAUACAGAAGGAAAAGAUUUAUCGGUAUAAGAUGGACCCGCGUCUGAUUAGCUAGUUGGUGAGGUAAUGGCUCACCAAGGCAACGAUCAGUAGCCGACUUGAGAGAGUGAUCGGCCACAUUGGGACUGAGACACGGCCCAA